Molecule: non-coding RNA, 125 nt
Organism: Triticum aestivum (bread wheat)
Lineage: Eukaryota; Viridiplantae; Streptophyta; Magnoliopsida; Poales; Poaceae
Source: Rfam
AUCAUGCUCCUUCUGUCCGGAAAUACUUGUAGAAGAAAUGAAUAUAUCUAGACAUAUUUUAGCUUUAGAUAUAUUUAUUUUUAUCUAUUUCUCCGACAAAUAUUUUUGGACGGAGGGAGUAUUUG